GAUACUGCCGUGCUAGAGGAUUGGAGAGGGUAGCUGGAAUUCUUGGUGUAGCAGUGAAAUGCGUGGAGAUCAAGAGGAACACUCGUGGCGAAAGCGGGCUACUGGACAAUAUCUGACGCUGAGGCUCGAAGGCCAGGGUAGCGAAAGGGAUUAGAUACCCCUGUAGUCCUGGCGGUAAACGGUGCACGCUUGGUGUGAGGGGAAUCGACCCCCCUCGUGCCGGAGCUAACGCGUUAAGCGUGCCGCCUGGGAAGUACGGUCGCAAGACUAAAACUCAAAGAAAUUGACGGGGACCCGCACAAGCGGUGGAGUAUGUGGCUUAAUUCGAUGCAACGCGAAGAACCUUACCAAGGCUUGACAUGCAUCUCUAAGCACGUGAAAGCGUGUGACCCGCAAGGGAAUUUGCACAGGUGCUGCAUGGCCGUCGUCAGCUCGUGUCGUGAGAUGUUGGGUUAAGUCCCGCAACGAGCGCAACCCCUGUGAUUAGUUGCCAGCGCGUGAUGGCGGGAACUCUAAUCAGACUGCCCAGAUCAACUGGGAGGAAGGUGGGGACGACGUCAGGUCAGUAUGGCCCUUACGCCUUGGGCUGCACACGUACUACAAUGCCCGGUACAAUGAGAGCCGAUACCGCGAGGUGGAGGAAAUCUAAGAAAACCGGGCCCAGUUCGGAUUGGAGGCUGCAACUCGCCUCCAUGAAGUUGGAAUCGCUAGUAAUGGCGCAUCAUCUACGGCGCCGUGAAUACGUUCCCGGGUCUUGUACACACCGCCCGUCACAUCAUGGAAGCCGGUCGCACCCGAAGUGCCCGUACCAACCGCAAGGGGGUAGGGUCCUAAGGUGUAGCUGGUAACUGGGAUGAAGUCGUAACAAGGUA
RNAcentral lists this ribosomal RNA (872 nucleotides) under uncultured bacterium. Its description in RNAcentral is "bacterial SSU rRNA". It matches the Rfam family "Bacterial small subunit ribosomal RNA", at positions 629 to 1498 of the family's 1533-position model. The record is from RNAcentral.